GUAGUGGGUGGACCGCGGGUGAUGAGGGCCCAGCUACUCCACCUGAUGGAGGUGAGCGAGCAGCCGGAUGUGAGUGUUCGAGUCGUUCCACACUGCGC
RNAcentral lists this transfer RNA (98 nucleotides) under Lentzea cavernae. RNAcentral describes it as "tRNA-Glu". The record is from RNAcentral. Lineage: Bacteria; Bacillati; Actinomycetota; Actinomycetes; Pseudonocardiales; Pseudonocardiaceae.